RNAcentral lists this ribosomal RNA (872 nucleotides) under Basidiomycota sp. F721. Its description in RNAcentral is "eukaryotic LSU rRNA". It matches the Rfam family "Eukaryotic large subunit ribosomal RNA", at positions 67 to 922 of the family's 3401-position model. The record is from RNAcentral. Lineage: Eukaryota; Fungi; Basidiomycota.
AACAAGGAUUCCCCUAGUAACUGCGAGUGAAGCGGGAAAAGCUCAAAUUUAAAAUCUGGUAGUCCUUGUGGCUGUCCGAGUUGUAAUUUAGAGAAGUGUUAUCCGCGUUGGACCGUGUAUAAGUUUCCUGGAAUGGAGCAUCAUAGAGGGUGAGAAUCCCGUCUUUGACACGGACUACCAAGGCUUUGUGAUACACUCUCAAAGAGUCGAGUUGUUUGGGAAUGCAGCUCAAAAUGGGUGGUAAAUUCCAUCUAAAGCUAAAUAUUGGCGAGAGACCGAUAGCGAACAAGUACCGUGAGGGAAAGAUGAAAAGAACUUUGGAAAGAGAGUUAAAAAGUACGUGAAAUUGUUAAAAGGGAAACGCUUGAAGUCAGUCGCGUUGGCUGGAAAUCAACCUUGCUCUUGCUUGGUGUACUUUCUAGUCGACGGGUCAACAUCAGUUUUGAUUGCUGGAUAAAGUGUAGGGGAAUGUGGCAUCUUCGGAUGUGUUAUAGCCCUUGCUCGUAUACAGUGGUUGGGACUGAGGAACUCAGCACGCCGCAAGGCAGAGUCUUCGGACUACUUUCGUGCUUAGGAUGUUGGCAUAAUGGCUUUAAUCGACCCGUCUUGAAACACGGACCAAGGAGUCUAACAUGCCUCCGAGUAUUUGGGUGGAAAACUCGAAUGCGCAAUGAAAGUGAAAGUUGAGAUCUCUGUCGUGGAGAGCAUCGACGCCCAUACCUGAACUUCUGUGACGGUUAUGCGGUAGAGCAUGUAUGUUGGGACCCGAAAGAUGGUGAACUAUGCCUGAAUAGGGCGAAGCCAGAGGAAACUCUGGUGGAGGCUCGUAGCGAUUCUGACGUGCAAAUCGAUCGUCGAAUUUGGGUAUAGGG